This is a non-coding RNA of Pelobates cultripes (western spadefoot toad), 355 nucleotides long. The record is from the annotation of a GenBank genome assembly. Lineage: Eukaryota; Metazoa; Chordata; Amphibia; Anura; Pelobatidae.
UGUACAUUUGCUAGCAAAACAUGGUGUAUAGAUAAAAUCUAAUUAGCUUAAAUUGUUAGGUUCAUGACAGGUACCCUUUAAACUGCUGCAAUCUCAAGUGCACUUCAAACCUUUUGUCUUGAGAACAAGAUAACAUCUAGGAUAUCUGUGUAUUGGAUAGUAGGGGGUCCAAGAACUUAAAUAAGCCUAUGAGAUGAAACUCAUUGUGAUUGCCUUUCACUGAUUCCUGAUUCCAUAAAAUGGAUGUGGCAGUAAACAAUCAAGACAUUCUGAGACCACUCUGAGUUAGAAACAAAAUGAAAUUAGAGGAAUACCCAGAACCAGAAAAAACAUUUGAAAUCGUUGAUCUAAGCAC